Long non-coding RNA from Phyllopteryx taeniolatus (common seadragon), 2672 nucleotides. RefSeq lists it as uncharacterized. The transcript has 2 exons. NCBI's taxonomy places the organism in Eukaryota, Metazoa, Chordata, Actinopteri, Syngnathiformes, Syngnathidae. The record is from RefSeq and is a predicted model, not a curated record.
UUUCGGGGGGCUUCGCCUGCCCUGCAUGGGAAAAUCUAGUCGCGUAUGCCAAGAUGCUAAGUUCGAAAUUGAGGAGUCUACUUCGCUGAACAGCACGCUCCUCCUCCCUCUCCUCCUCCUCCCUCUCCUCCUCUUUAGGGGUGUAGUCACUGCAAAGUGGAGGGAGCGCUCAGUCAAAGCACUCGCUGACGCUCUCUCUCUCUCUCUCUCUCUCUCUCUCUCCCGCACCCCCCAUCUCUCGCGUUAACUAACAUUCUUUCAUUUCUCUUUUAUAUAUAUAUUUGUUUCGGUCUUCACUCGCUCCCUCCCCAAGUGGAACAAUGCUAAGGCUCAUUUCGGAUGGCGACAGUCUUGUCAACUUUUUGUUCCCCUCAUUGUAUGUUUCCCCCCCCCCCCUGCUCACCCCACUCGACUGCUUUCAAGAUAGAGCCACGACCAGGAAUUAUUUUUAUUAACCUAUUUUUUUUCAUCACUUCUCUCAAUCGUUUAUAUAUCGUUUUGUACUUUAUGUGCGUUUUGCGCGCCGAAAACGAGCAUUUCAGCAUGAAAAUCUGCAAAGGGGGCUUUUCAUCCAUCCAUUCAGGUGGAUCUUUUUUUACAGCGUUGAAUGGCUGCACGAUACCUUUGCUUGUAGGGAAGCGAACGUGUGUGUCUUUGUGAGCGCGUGGCAGUAAUUGCAAAGGUGCGUGUACGGGUGUGUGAGAGCGGUGGAUCGCAUUCCAAAAACUUGCGGACAUUCGUUGAGUCAAUUUUUUUUACCCUUUGAUUUUUGUUGCACUUUUUAAAAUACGUCUUAUGUGUUUUUAUUUUGUUCAAUAUUUUUUCGAAUUUUUAUAUUUGCAUUUAAACUGUUUUUCUUAGUCAAUCGUUAGGUUGGAACGAGUGUAUUACAUAUUUUCAUAUUUUUAUUUCAGGAUUAUUUUAUAUUGUCAUGAUGCAUUAUUUUAUAUUAUCGCUAUGUUCACUUUUACCUUCAUUUUAAGUUGAUUUAUUUUGUGUUAGACUGGCCACGCGUUUUUAUUAUUAUACUUUGAUUAAUAUAGUUUUACAUUUGUAUAUUUUUAAUAUUAUUAUUAUUGUAUAUUGUCAUGGUCCAUUAAUUAGUUCAGUCGAAUUAGCAGCCAAAAUGUGUAAUAAAUAUUUUUAAAACGGUAUUAUCUUUUAUGUAAUAUCAUUAUUAUCAAAUAUUAUUAUUCAAAGCAGUGUAUUUUCGGGGUGUGUGUGUGUGUGUGUGUGUGUGUGUGUGUGUGUGGUUUGCCUCUAUGCCGUCUAGUUCAAGUCCUUGUUAAGCCGAAAGGGAUCGCUGUAGGCGCUGCUAAAGAGCGUGUGCGCGCGCCUGGUGAUCACGUGGUUUUGGGGUGGGGGGGGGGGGAGAGAGAGAGAGAGAGAGAGAGAGAGAGAGAGAACACAAGGCAAAAAAAAGAGGAAAAGAGUGAUGACGCUGGGACAGAGAGGAGUGGGAACAGCCUUUAAAAAAAGCAAGAAAAAGAGCAGAGAGAGAGGAGCAGCUGUGCAGCAUCAUGAUGCGGAGACCACUUCAGCACUUAUCGGAAUGGAACUUUUUCUUGAUUCUUACAUUUUCAAGCACAAAUGAUAAUUGCAUUGAUAAUGAUAGAGUUGGGAGUCGUUGUGCAGACACACAGAUGCACGAGGAGGAUCUCACCUGACACAUGCACAUGAAAAACAUCUAUCAUGCCAAAUAUGUAUGGGUUUUCUUAUCUCCUGAAUGUAAACAGGGGGAUAAAAGGGUUGAAUCAGUAAAGUAUACAUACAGAAGUGUAUGACUCCCCUUCCAAUGAAAAACUUAUUUUCUGAUCUUUUUUUCCUUUACUGAACUCGAUGAAGACGUAUGGCGCUCAUCUGAUGGCGCCGCCCACCCUCAUGGGGCUGAAUGGCAGGCUGCUGGAUGCACUAAGUGAUGAAAUGAUGACCCCAUUAUGAGAAGCGGCUCCAAAAUGAGGGGGUAUCGGGCAAAGAUUGCGGACCGCCGCCGUCAUUCUCCUCCUCCCCCUGCUCGCUAUGCUGCACACAUGAUGAUUGAUUCGCUGGAGACGGAUCACAGGAAGCAGCUAUUGAUUUUUUUCCUCCCUGUCUAUAGUGUUUUACGAAGAAAAUACCUAUUUACACUUGGGUGUUAUCCAGACUUACUCAGUAUCCACUUUUUUGGAAGGAUAAAGGAUCUAAUUGUCCUUCCUUGGUGACGUGACAAAUGACCUGUAAUAUUAUUUCAGUAGGGAGUCAAUAAGCAGGCUCACUAAAUGAAUAUUGAUUGGUUAAAAUGAAGCCUGUGUGUGAAUGGAAGCUCUUUCCCGGGGCCUUGCAGUCAGCAUCCGAACAUGAUGAUGCUAGACGUAUGCACUACGGGGACAGAAUACAGUGAAAAGUCAAACAGGGGCAUAUUUCAAAACAAAUAUUUCCUUAUAAGAAAUCAUGUAAACCAAAUCAUCCAUUCCAGGGUCAUAGUGUCCCCAUCAUAAAACCUUGACUAACCGUACAAUUAAGCAACAUUUUAACAUUCUUAAUUUUAUUAUGCAGCUCACGUUACUACCGCACACUACAUUUCUCUAUUCUGUCUCGAAUCCCGUGGUUACCUGAAGCUAAAGUAUAAGAAGCAUCAUUCGUUACGCGCUACGCUGUUUAUAACUAGAUAAAUAAACUGCUACCACACACUA